Molecule: long non-coding RNA, 2741 nt
Filed under: Ananas comosus (pineapple)
Lineage: Eukaryota; Viridiplantae; Streptophyta; Magnoliopsida; Poales; Bromeliaceae
Description: long non-coding RNA (ACOM_LNC002860)
Source: RNAcentral
UAUGUCCAACUUACUGUCCUGUGAUAUUAGGCCUAAGAAAAUUAAUAACUUAAGCGGAUAAGUCCAAUAAAUUAAGUAAUACUACAAUCCAAACUUAAUUAACAAUAAAAGAUCUAACAAUAAAUCUAACGUCCAUAUAUAUUGUCAUGUCGAAGUCCGUAAACACGCUAGUUGAUCCUUUCUGUGUGAUGAGUACGGCCUUCCUAUCACCAUAUAUAUAUAUAUAUAUAGAGUUGAGCUGGAAUGCUAUCGGUAGCAAACGAGUUCCGUUGCCACCCAUUUGUUUUCGAUGAUGGAGCUUUCAAAUUGACGAUCGGCACCGUUGAACAUGAUCUAUAUCACUUGAAGUAUCUAGAAAUCAAAUUUCAAAUCUUUUCGACAUCAUUUACCUAAUGAUCAAAGGAUUUCAAAAUUAGUAAUUUUAAUGGUUGAUAUGAGGGAUUUUCUCGUUUAACGGUGUAAAGCUAUCCAAAUCAAUUGAAUUUUGGUUAGAAAAUUCUUUAAACUAUUUAGAAUAAGAUCUAUACUCUUGAUCAAGAUUACAAAAUUUUUAUCAUCAUUUUUCAGAGAAUAUUCAUUUUCAGCCAUUCAUUUUUAUGCCCACUUGAUGGACAAGAAAACAAUAUGGGAAAAGUAUGAAAUUUGAUUUCUAGAUACUUCAAGUGGUAUAGAUCAUUUUCAACGGUGCCGAUCGUCGAUUUGGAGGCUCCAUCAUCGAAAACAAAUGGGUGGCAACGGAGCCCGUUUGCUACUAAUAGUAUUCCAGCUCAACUCUAUAUAUAUAUAUAUAUAUAUAUAUAUAUAUAUAUAUUGGAAUAGUUGUUUAACGCUUACAUUCACAAUUUACACCUUUAAAUGUGUACACAGGUGGCAUUGCUCAUAGCAUUUUUUUUUUAUAAUUUAGAUUAAUUACUAAAAAAAGUACCUAGAAAGUGACAUCACAAGUGACCAUGUACUACAUUCAUGUCAAUUUUUCAUUUGAUAGCGUUGCAGACAUACCCAUUUGAAACAGAACAAUCAAACAGUAUUAUGAUAAUUUAAAGUGUAUCAUCACAGAAUAAUGUGUCAAAUUAAUAAGAUACAACUAAAUGCACUUUGCCCUUUUACAAAGAGAGUAAUUAAAAUAUAUAGUUUUGUGUUAAUUUUAAAACAAUUCUGUAUCAUGUGAACUACUUGAUGGGUGGGAAAAAUAUUUAUAAAAAUAGUUGAGCUAUGUGUUACCUCUUUUAAGUGAUGCGAUUAACAAAUAAUGCAACGAAAGUAUAAAUUAAUUUUUAUUAAUUAAAUAUUAUUGAUAAGUCAGUAUUUUUAUAUAAUUUUUGAAUUGAAAAAUAGUUUUAAAAUCCCGCCUACAUACUGACACAUUAUAAUACGACUCAUCAGUGGUGUAUAAAGAGUACAAAAUGUCGCUUGGGGUUUUCUUAGUUUGGAGAGAGACACAUAUCAAAAAUGGUAUAAUUAAUGUUGUUAUCAACCCACAAUUUUUCACAAGCAUGCUUUGCAUAUAUGGAAAACUAUUAUGGCACUUUGAAAAAUGCCUGUAUAUGUUAACCAAUUAAAAGAUUUUUCCUAUCAUAAUGGAGCCAAUAUUGAAAAAAAUUGUAACAUAAAUUCCAUAUACGCAGGGAAAUGCUUUGCACUCCCCCACAGUGUUGUUCCUAUAAGGUUUUAAUGUAUUAGCACAACAAUAUGACACUUUAAGGACCGUCCCUAGCGCAAGUGGUAAAGGGCAUGGUGAUUGAUAUCCGAGACUCAAGUUCGAAUCCUAAUUGAUUCACAUUUUUAGCUAAGUUUAUUUCUAAAUGAAAUAAACGAAACGGAUAGCGUGCUAUCUAUCUCUCUCAACAAAAAAAAAAAGGCUUCACAUAAUAGACGCCGUUGCAUCAAUUGCAUUAAUAACACAUAAAGAUAAUAUAACGAGGCGCUUAUAGUAGUGUUCUUUUGUGUAUGUAUUGACACAAAAGUAUGACACUUUUAGGUGUAUGUUCAUGAAUCAAUCAAAACUCUUCAUAUUAUAAAUGCCAAUGUAUCAAUUCUAUCAAUGAUAUAUAAGAACAAUAUUAUAAGAUACCUGUAGUGGUACUCUUUUUUUUUUGUGAAUAAAUCAAACUCUAAAGCCAUGUUAUUGGAAGCCGGAAUAAGUUAUCAAAAAACAAUAUAUUUUACAUGAGUUGAGCUGCAAUGCUAUCGGUAGCAAACGGGCUCCGUUGCCACCUAUUUGUUUUCGAUGAUGCAGCUUUCAAAUCGACGAUCGGCAUCGUUGAAUAUGAUCUAUAUCACUUGAAGUAUUUAGAAAUUAAAAUUCAAAUCUUUUCGACAUUAUUUACCUAAUGAUCAAAGGGUUUCAAAAUUAGUAAUUUUAAUGGUUGAUAUGAGGGGUUUUCUUAUUUAACUGUGUAAAACUAUCCAAAUCAAUUGAAUUUUGGUUAGAAAAUUCUUUAAACUAUUUAGAACAAGAUCUAUACUCUCGAUCAUGAUUACAAAAUUUAUAUCAUCACUUUUUAGAGGAUAUUCAUUUUCAGCCAUUCAUUUUUACGCCCACUUGAUGGACAAGAAAACAAUAUCGGAAAAAUAUGAAAUUUGAUUUCGAGAUACUUCAAGUGAUAUAGAUCAUUUUCAACGGUGCCGAUCGUCGAUUUGGAGGCUCCAUCAUCGAAAACAAAUGGGUGGCAACGGAGUCCGUUUGCUACCGAUAGUAUUCCAGCUCAACUCUAUUUUACAUAUAAAAUAAUUUAUUUAAU